AUUGAACGCUAGCGGGAUGCUUUACACAUGCAAGUCGAACGGCAGCGCGGACUUCGGUCUGGCGGCGAGUGGCGAACGGGUGAGUAAUGUAUCGGAACGUGCCCAGUAGCGGGGGAUAACUACGCGAAAGCGUAGCUAGUACCGCAUACGCCCUACGGGGGAAAGGGGGGGAUCGCAAGACCUCUCACUAUUGGAGCGGCCGAUAUCGGAUUAGCUAGUUGGUGAGGUAAAGGCUCACCAAGGCGACGAUCCGUAGCUGGUUUGAGAGGACGACCAGCCACACUGGGACUGAGACACGGCCCAGACUCCUACGGGAGGCAGCAGUGGGGAAUUUUGGACAAUGGGGGCAACCCUGAUCCAGCCAUCCCGCGUGUGCGAUGAAGGCCUUCGGGUUGUAAAGCACUUUUGGCAGGGAAGAAAAGUUUCGGGCUAAUACCCUGGAGCGAUGACGGUACCUGCAGAAUAAGCACCGGCUAACUACGUGCCAGCAGCCGCGGUAA
This 500-nucleotide ribosomal RNA is filed under the name uncultured bacterium. RNAcentral describes it as "partial 16S ribosomal RNA". It matches the Rfam family "Bacterial small subunit ribosomal RNA", at positions 29 to 523 of the family's 1533-position model. The record is from RNAcentral.